CUGGAAUUAGAAUACCAACGACGUUUAAGGCCGACUUUCUCCGAAACCACCAAUCGCCAACAGAGUUCACUCAAAACACCCACUAUAUAUACAACGGCUCAUUUGAUUGGAUAUUAUCCAAGCGAUAUUUAAAUAUUUCACAUAAAUUUUCCUAGUUGAAUAGAGGGUUUUUAGCUAUGGCAGAAAAUGGGCGAAAAAUUUUAGUAGCAAUCGAUGAAGGAGAUGAAAGCAUGUACGCACUCACAUGGUGUCUCAACAAUGUUAUUAGUGAGCAUUCCAAAGAUACCCUUAUCCUCUGCUACGUCAAACCACCUCGAGCUGUCUCCACAGCCAUGGAGGGAACAGGUAAAAUUGUGCAGGAUUGGCAUUUUUUGAAAUGGAUAUAUGAAGGGGGGUAAUGUAAUGUAAUUUUUUUAAAAUUAUGCAGUAUGGGCAUUUUCUCCUGAUGUAAUGGCGAGCAUCGAGAGGUACAGCAAUGGUGUGGCUCAGUGCGUGAUUGACAAGGCGAAAAGAGCUUGCAAGCACUUGAAUGAUGUGAGUUUGGUAAAUUUGCGAUUUCUUCAAGGGUAAAACAGUCAUUUAGAAAAUAAUAGUACUAUGUGGUUUGGUGCGUGUAGGUUAAAGUGGAGAUAGCGGUGGAGCAGGGAGAUCCAAGGGACAUGAUUUGUGAAGUGGCUGAGAAAUUGAAUGUGGA
RNAcentral lists this long non-coding RNA (694 nucleotides) under Olea europaea subsp. europaea. The record is from RNAcentral. Lineage: Eukaryota; Viridiplantae; Streptophyta; Magnoliopsida; Lamiales; Oleaceae.